This is a non-coding RNA of Pelecanus crispus (Dalmatian pelican), 74 nucleotides long. Lineage: Eukaryota; Metazoa; Chordata; Aves; Pelecaniformes; Pelecanidae. The record is from Rfam.
GCCGGGUUAGCUCAGUUGGUUAGAGCAUGGUGCUAAUAACACCAAAUUCACAGGUUCAAUCCCUGCUUACUGCA